AUGCAAGUCGAGCGGAGACAGUGAGUAGCUUGCUAUGAGCUGUUUUAGCGGCGGACGGGUGAGUAACGCGUGAGCAACCUUUCCCAGACAGGGGAAUAACACGCCGAAAGGUGUACUAAUACCGCAUAAGACCACGGUUUCACAUGGAACUGAGGUAAAAGAUUUAUCGGUUUGGGGUGGGCUCGCGUCCGAUUAGGUAGUUGGUGAGGUAACGGCCCACCAAGCCGACGAUCGGUAGCCGACCUGAGAGGGUGAUCGGCCACAUUGGGACUGAGACACGGCCCAAACUCCUACGGGAGGCAGCAGUGGGGAAUAUUGGGCAAUGGGGGGAACCCUGACCCAGCAACGCCGCGUGGAGGAAGAAGGUUUUCGGAUCGUAAACUCCUGUCCUUGGAGACGAGUAGAAGACGGUAUCCAAGGAGGAAGCCCCGGCUAACUACGUGCCAGCAGCCGCGGUAAUACGUAGGGGGCAAGCGUUGUCCGGAAUAAUUGGGCGUAAAGGGCGCGUAGGCGGCUCGGUAAGUCUGGAGUGAAAGUCCUGCUUUUAAGGUGGGAAUUGCUUUGGAUACUGUCGGGCUUGAGUGCAGGAGAGGUUAGUGGAAUUCCCAGUGUAGCGGUGAAAUGCGUAGAGAUUGGGAGGAACACCAGUGGCGAAGGCGACUAACUGGACUGUAACUGACGCUGAGACGCGGAAGUGUGGGGAGCAAACAGGAUUAGAUACCCUGGUAGUCCGCACUGUAAACGAUGAAUGCUAGGUGUAGGGGGUAUCGACCCCUUCUGUGCCGCAGUCAACACAAUAAGCAUUCCGCCUGGGGAGUACGGCCGCAAGGUUGAAACUCAAAGGAAUUGACGGGGGCCCGCACAAGCAGCGGAGCAUGUGGUUUAAUUCGACGCAACGCGAA
This 902-nucleotide ribosomal RNA is filed under the name uncultured bacterium. Its description in RNAcentral is "bacterial SSU rRNA". It matches the Rfam family "Bacterial small subunit ribosomal RNA", at positions 55 to 965 of the family's 1533-position model. The record is from RNAcentral.